RNAcentral lists this ribosomal RNA (689 nucleotides) under Erwinia rhapontici. RNAcentral's name for it is "bacterial SSU rRNA". It matches the Rfam family "Bacterial small subunit ribosomal RNA", at positions 94 to 775 of the family's 1533-position model. Lineage: Bacteria; Pseudomonadati; Pseudomonadota; Gammaproteobacteria; Enterobacterales; Erwiniaceae. The record is from RNAcentral.
AGUGGCGGACGGGUGAGUAAUGCCUGGGAAACUGCCCGAUGGAGGGGGAUAACUACUGGAAACGGUAGCUAAUACCGCAUAACGUCUUCGGACCAAAGUGGGGGACCUUCGGGCCUCACACCAUCGGAUGUGCCCAGGUGGGAUUAGCUAGUAGGUGGGGUAAUGGCUCACCUAGGCGACGAUCCCUAGCUGGUCUGAGAGGAUGACCAGCCACACUGGAACUGAGACACGGUCCAGACUCCUACGGGAGGCAGCAGUGGGGAAUAUUGCACAAUGGGCGCAAGCCUGAUGCAGCCAUGCCGCGUGUAUGAAGAAGGCCUUCGGGUUGUAAAGUACUUUCAGUGGGGAGGAAGGCGGUGAGGUUAACAGCUUCGUCGAUUGACGUUACCCGCAGAAGAAGCACCGGCUAACUCCGUGCCAGCAGCCGCGGUAAUACGGAGGGUGCAAGCGUUAAUCGGAAUUACUGGGCGUAAAGCGCACGCACGCGGUCUGUCAAGUCGGAUGUGAAAUCCCCGGGCUCAACCUGGGAACUGCAUUCGAAACUGGCAGACUAGAGUCUUGUAGAGGGGGGUAAGAAUUCCAGUGUAGCGGUGAAAUGCGUAAAGAAUCUGGAGGAAUACCGGUGGCGAAGCGCCUCCUGGAACAAAGAACUGACGCUCAAGGUGGCGAAAGCGUGGGGGAGCAAACAG